CACAAAACAGCAUGAUGCUAUGGACUUAUAUUUAGUGUAGAAGACAUUAACUAUGGAAGAAUGAUGCAUUAGUUUCCGCCAUAUCAUUUCAGCACGGCAUUGAUUGCAUUGGUCGAAUCGUCAGUAAGAGUCAACCAUGUUACAGCAGAUUCUCCAGACGAUGACCGUCGACCCUGACCUCCUGUCAGAGCUGUCGGACGAACAGAAGGCCAUACUGUUUGUCAAGAUACGGGAGGGUCUAGGUGAUGGGGAUUGCAAAAACAAUAAAUCUAUUGAGGAGAUGAUUGGGUUAGAGAUAUAGGAGAAGGCACUCAAGGAGGCUGAGAGCGAGAUCGAGAAGAUCAGGUGAGAUACA
Magallana angulata is the source of this 355-nucleotide long non-coding RNA. RefSeq lists it as uncharacterized. The transcript is spliced from 3 exons. The record is from RefSeq and is a predicted model, not a curated record. NCBI's taxonomy places the organism in Eukaryota, Metazoa, Mollusca, Bivalvia, Ostreida, Ostreidae.